CCUGGAAACGGGUGGUAAUGCCGGAUGCUCCGGUUGGAUGCAUGUCCUUCCGGGAAAGAUUCCAUCGGUAUGGGAUGGGGUCGCGUCCUAUCAGCUUGAUGGCGGGGUAACGGCCCACCAUGGCUUCGACGGGUAGCCGGCCUGAGAGGGCGACCGGCCACAUUGGGACUGAGAUACGGCCCAGACUCCUACGGGAGGCAGCAGUGGGGAAUAUUGCACAAUGGGCGCAAGCCUGAUGCAGCGACGCCGCGUGCGGGAUGGAGGCCUUCGGGUUGUAAACCGCUUUUGAUCGGGAGCAAGCCCUUCGGGGUGAGUGUACCCUUCGAAUAAGCACCGGCUAACUACGUGCCAGCAGCCGCGGUAAUACGUAGGGUGCAAGCGUUAUCCGGAAUUAUUGGGCGUAAAGGGCUCGUAGGCGGUUCGUCGCGUCCGGUGUGAAAGCCCAUCGCUUAACGGUGGGUCUGCGCCGGGUACGGGCGGGCUGGAGUGCGGUAGGGGAGACUGGAAUUCCCGGUGUAACGGUGGAAUGUGUAGAUAU
This 538-nucleotide ribosomal RNA is filed under the name Bifidobacterium dentium. Its description in RNAcentral is "bacterial SSU rRNA". It matches the Rfam family "Bacterial small subunit ribosomal RNA", at positions 149 to 697 of the family's 1533-position model. Lineage: Bacteria; Bacillati; Actinomycetota; Actinomycetes; Bifidobacteriales; Bifidobacteriaceae. The record is from RNAcentral.